UACGUAGGGGGCAAGCGUUGUCCGGAAUCAUUGGGCGUAAAGCGCGCGUAGGCGGCCCGAUAAGUCCGUUGUGAAAGUCAAAGGCUCAACCUUUGAACGCCGAUGGAUACUGCCGGGCUAGAGUCCGGAAGAGGCGAGUGGAAUUCCUGGUGUAGCGGUGGAAUGCGCAGAUAUCAGGAGGAACACCAAUAGCGAAGGCAGCUCGCUGGGACGGUACUGACGCUGAGGCGCGAAAGCAUGGGGAGCGAACAGG
RNAcentral lists this ribosomal RNA (253 nucleotides) under uncultured bacterium. Its description in RNAcentral is "partial 16S ribosomal RNA". It matches the Rfam family "Bacterial small subunit ribosomal RNA", at positions 524 to 776 of the family's 1533-position model. The record is from RNAcentral.